CCUACGGGAGGCAGCAGUGAGGAAUAUUGGUCAAUGGGCGGAAGCCUGAACCAGCCAAGUCGCGUGAGGGAGUAAGGCCCUACGGGUCGUAAACCUCUUUUGCCGGGGAGCAGUGCCCAGCUCGUGAGCUGGGAGGGAGCGUACCCGGCGAAAAAGCCUCGGCUAACUCCGUGCCAGCAGCCGCGGUAAUACGGAGGAGGCGAGCGUUAUCCGGAUUUAUGGGGUUUAAAGGGUGCGUGGGCGGGCCUUCCGGCCGGCGGUAAAAUUGAGGGGCUCAACCCCGCCGAGCCGUCGGAACCGGGGGCCUUGAGUACCGGAGAGGUACGCGGAAUGCGUGGUGUAGCGGUGAAAUGCAUAGAUAUCACGCAGAACUCCGAUUGCGAAGGCAGCAUACCGGCGCCCAACUGACGCUCAGGCACGAAAGCGUGGGUAUCGAACAGGAUUAGAUACCCCUGUAGUC
RNAcentral lists this ribosomal RNA (460 nucleotides) under uncultured bacterium. Its description in RNAcentral is "partial 16S ribosomal RNA". It matches the Rfam family "Bacterial small subunit ribosomal RNA", at positions 338 to 795 of the family's 1533-position model. The record is from RNAcentral.